This 704-nucleotide ribosomal RNA is filed under the name uncultured bacterium. RNAcentral's name for it is "bacterial SSU rRNA". It matches the Rfam family "Bacterial small subunit ribosomal RNA", at positions 56 to 755 of the family's 1533-position model. The record is from RNAcentral.
UGCAGUCGAACGGCAGCAUGGGCUUCGGCCUGAUGGCGAGUGGCGAACGGGUGAGUAAUGCAUCGGAACGUGCCCAGUCGUGGGGGACAACGUAGCGAAAGUUACGCUAAUACCGCAUACGACCUGAGGGUGAAAGUGGGGGACCGCAAGGCCUCACGCGAUUGGAGCGGCCGAUGUCUGAUUAGCUAGUUGGUGGGGUAAAGGCCUACCAAGGCGACGAUCAGUAGCGGGUCUGAGAGGAUGAUCCGCCACACUGGGACUGAGACACGGCCCAGACUCCUACGGGAGGCAGCAGUGGGGAAUUUUGGACAAUGGGCGCAAGCCUGAUCCAGCCAUGCCGCGUGCGGGAAGAAGGCCUUCGGGUUGUAAACCGCUUUCGGACGGAAAGAAAUCGUUCAGGUUAAUACCCUGGAUGGAUGACGGUACCGUAAGAAGAAGCACCGGCUAACUACGUGCCAGCAGCCGCGGUAAUACGUAGGGUGCGAGCGUUAAUCGGAAUUACUGGGCGUAAAGCGUGCGCAGGCGGUUUCUUAAGCCAGACGUGAAAUCCCCGAGCUUAACUUGGGAACUGCGUUUGGAACUGGGAGACUAGAGUGUGUCAGAGGGGGGGUGGAAUUCCACGUGUAGCAGUGAAAUGCGUAGAGAUGUGGAGGAACACCGAUGGCGAAGGCAGCCCCCUGGGAUAACACUGACGCUCAUGCACG